CGCCGCUCCUCCAGGCUCCCGCCGCCACGUCACGCGAACUCAAGGCUGUAUAGGCAGGAGCUAGCUCGACACGCCGCGCCGCCGCCAACGCCACGGCGAGGUCUCCCGCCGUGAGGAUUGUGAAGGUAGCUAGUCUGUGCGGCCUGCGCGGACACUCCCGCGUGGCGGAGGCGGCCGGCAUUUGGGCUGAUUUGGCGAGCUGGGGGAGC
This 209-nucleotide long non-coding RNA is filed under the name Oryza brachyantha (malo sina). Its description in RNAcentral is "long non-coding RNA (OBRA_LNC001456)". Lineage: Eukaryota; Viridiplantae; Streptophyta; Magnoliopsida; Poales; Poaceae. The record is from RNAcentral.